Molecule: ribosomal RNA, 799 nt
Filed under: uncultured Bacillota bacterium
Lineage: Bacteria; Bacillati; Bacillota
Description: bacterial SSU rRNA
Rfam family: Bacterial small subunit ribosomal RNA
Source: RNAcentral
AAAGGGGAGCAAUCCCUGAGUACAGUGGCGUACGGGUGAGUAACACGUGGAUGAUCUAUCUCUUAGUGGGGAAUAACCCUGGGAAACCGGGGAUAAUACCGCAUAAGCUCGAGAGAGGAAAGCAGCAAUGCGCUGAGAGAGGAGUCCGCGGCCGAUUAGCUAGUUGGCAGGGUAAAAGCCUACCAAGGCAGAGAUCGGUAGCCGGCCUGAGAGGGCACACGGCCACACUGGCACUGAAACACGGGCCAGACUCCUACGGGAGGCAGCAGUGGGGAAUCUUGCACAAUGGGGGCAACCCUGAUGCAGCGACGCCGCGUGAGCGAUGAAGCCCUUCGGGGUGUAAAGCUCUUUCGGCAGGGAAGAUUAUGACGGUACCUGCAGAAGCAGCUGCGGCUAACUACGUGCCAGCAGCCGCGGUAAUACGUAGGCAGCGAGCGUUGUUCGGAGUUACUGGGCGUAAAGGGUGUGUAGGCGGUUGUUUAAGUUUGGUGUGAAAUCUCCCGGCUCAACUGGGAGGGUGCGCCGAAUACUGAAUGACUUGGAGUGCGGGAGAGGAGAGUGGAAUUCCUGGUGUAGCGGUGAAAUGCGUAGAUAUCAGGAGGAACACCGGUGGUGUAGACGGCUCUCUGGACCGUAACUGACGCUGAGACACGAAAGCGUGGGUAGCAAACAGGAUUAGAUACCCUGGUAGUCCACGCCCUAAACGAUGCAUAUUUGGUGUGGGCAGUUCAUUCUGUCCGUGCCGGAGCUAACGCGUUAAAUAUGCCGCCUGGGGAGUACAGUCGCAAGGCUGAAACUC